This 3784-nucleotide long non-coding RNA is filed under the name Lactuca sativa (garden lettuce). RNAcentral describes it as "long non-coding RNA (LSAT_LNC003014)". Lineage: Eukaryota; Viridiplantae; Streptophyta; Magnoliopsida; Asterales; Asteraceae. The record is from RNAcentral.
GGAGGCAUAGAUGUGAUUGAAACGUAUGUAUUUUGGAAUGGACAUGAACCUUCACCAGGCAAUGUGAGUGUCUUAUUUUAUAAAUAGAUCUUUCAUUUGACUUUUCAAACAAUAGAUAUCUGAAUAAAGUGUUGUAUGGAUAAAUGAUGUUUAUAUAUAUAUUUGAGAAAAUAAUGGGAGGUGGUAAUUGUAAUUCCACUUACGUUUUUUAUUCAUUCACUUAAGAAAAAUAAGGGGUAAAAAGGUCAAAUCACCUUUUAGUUUUUAAGUGAAUGAAUCAAAUACUUAAAUAUCAAUGGCACGUAGGAAAAAGAAACAUAGUUAGGACUUAAUGGUAUUUCCCUUACUUUCUGUAUCAAAUCAAAAAGAAACAUAGUCUUGUUUUGUUCCAAAAUGGUGACUAAUUGAUUAUUUAUUUUAUUUUUAUGUUUUUCUUGAUGAGGUUUUUUUUAGUACUAUUUUGGUGGAAGAUAUGAUUUAGCAAAAUUUGUGAAGAUAGUUCAAGAUGCUGGCAUGCUUUUGAUUCUCAGAAUUGGGCCAUUUGUUGCUGCAGAAUGGAACUUUGGGCAAGUCAAUGACAAUUUACUUCUAAAUUUAAUUAUUCAUAAGUUUAGUAUAAUGAUUUAAUUUUUUUUUUUUUUUUUAUAUAAUUCCUAUACAGUGGUAUACCUGUUUGGUUGCAUUAUGUGCCAGGGACAGUUUUCAGAACUGACAAUGAACCUUUUAAGGUGAGAAAAACGGUUAAUAUUAUCAUCUAAAGUGAUUAUUGUGAUUUGAAAUUAGGGGUAGAUUGGUCAUUUUUACAUUCAUUUUUUGGUUGAAUGCAAGAAACAGUUAUGUAAACACAUAUUAUUUGUGUAAAAUGCAGCAUUACAUGCAGAACUUCACAACACUGAUUGUGAAUAUGAUGAAAAAAGAAAAGUUUUUUGCUUCACAAGGAGGUCCCAUCAUCUUAGCUCAGGUAAGUAAGACUUUUUUUUUUUUUUUUUUUUAAAUUCUUUUUUACUUUUUCUUAAAAAAAUCAAUCAUCUUGAAAUUGGUUUUAGCAUACCACAAAGUUUCAAGCAACUCUGGUUUCAUUUGCUUAAAAAAGACAUAUUUAACAUUUAUACAAAACUUCUAACACACACAUAUCAGAAAGAUAUAACAAUUUGCAAAACUUUUAACAUCAUAUGUGAAUAUGUCAUGAAAUGAUACAAUAAUUGUGAUUUAAUAUUUUAUAGGUGGAAAAUGAGUAUGGAUACUAUGAAGCUGCAUAUGGUGAAGGAGGCAAAUCAUAUACUCAAUGGGCAGCUAAAAUGGCUCUUUCACAAAAUACAGGUGUACCUUGGAUAAUGUGUCAACAAUGGGAUGCUCCAGAUCCUGUGGUGAGGAUUUCAAACAUGAAAAUCGGGACCAAAAAUGAAAAAAUAUUCUUUUUUGGACCAAAAUUAAAGAAAAUCAUUACCUUAGGGACCAAAAUCGACAGUUCACUUUUAUUUUAUAACAAUUGGACUUGUGCAUAUGACCCGAAACGAGUCAUGAUUCAACAUGUAAUAAAAAUGAUUCUAUUUUGUAGUAAUGAUUAUUAGAAUAAAUAAUUAUGCAAAAUACCAUUAAUUUUUUUUUUUUUUGUUGUUGUUGGUUAUCCGGUUUUCAGAAAGGGCAAAAUACAUCAGACUUUUACCAUUUUAUUGAUUUAACCACUGGAUUUAUUAUAUUUGAUCAAUUUAGCUAAUAAUGAUUAAAAAGACUUGUUUGUAAUAUUUUUAUUACAGAUUAAUACAUGCAAUUCAUUUUAUUGUGAUGAUUUCAAACCAAGCUACUCAACAAUGCCCAAAAUCUGGACUGAGAAUUGGCCUGGAUGGUAUGUUUUCUACUCUUUUUUUUUUUUUUUUUUUUUUUUUUUUUUUUUUUUUUAUCAAUAAUAGUAACAUAUUUAUAUAUUAUUUUACCAAUAAUAACAAAAUUACUUAUAUAUAUUUGUGUGAUAGGUUUAAGACAUUUGGAGGAAGAGAUCCUCAUAGGCCAGCUGAAGAUGUUGCUUAUUCUGUUGCUCGAUUUUUCCAAAAAGGAGGAAGUGUUCAUAAUUAUUAUAUGGUAUUCUUUUUUUUUUAAUAAAUGUUAUAAAUAUAUAGCAUUUGUAAUUUCUCCAUGUGUUAAGUUUAUUUUAUUUAUAUAUUUUUUUUUAGUAUCAUGGUGGGACGAAUUUUGGACGUACUUCUGGUGGGCCAUUUAUCACCACAAGUUAUGAUUAUGAUGCACCAAUUGAUGAAUAUGGUUAGCCCAAUUAAACUUUUUUUUCUCUCAAAAUAGCAAUGUAUUUUAUUUUCAAUCCAUAAUAGGAAUGUUGUUGUGCUUUUUUUUCUUGAUAAUAGCAACCUACUUACAUUUCAUUACUAAUAUAGUAAUAUGCAAAAUGUACUUUAUAAGUAUGUUGUGAUUAUAGGUAAAGAAAUUUAAGUAGUUGUUAUUAUGGGUAAAAAACAAAUUACAUUUAAAAAGUUUAGAUUGCUAUUAUUGGUAAAGAAUGCAAGUAUAAUGCUUGAGAUUGCUAUUAUCAGUAAAGAAAUGUAAGUAUUUUACUAUUAUGAGUAAGAUAAAGAUUACAUUCCUAUUUUAUGUGAUUUUCACUUUAUAAAGUUUCUGAAUAAGUUCUAAAUAUUUUUUUUGGAUGGAUUUAGGGUUACCAAGGUAUCCAAAAUAUGGGCAUCUUAAGGAGCUUCAUAGAGCUAUAAAGUUGUGUGAACAAGCAUUAUUGAACAAUAAACCGACUUUGGUUCAUCUUGGUUCUCAACAAGAGGUGGAUUUUUAUCAUCCCUUUUUUCAUUCAUGCUCACUCAUCUCAUGAAAAUCACAAUGUUUUUAUUUUCCAAAGCUAAAAUUACCUAUUUGCCCUUUCUCACUAUUACAACAUAUUGAUGCUUCUGCUAAUCUUUCCGUAUUCCUUUUUUCUCAAUAAGUGUUGUCUAGAUUAAUGAUGUUUAUACGUUAUAUAAUACUUGAGAAUAUAACGACACACUUGGGGAAAUGGAAUGAAAAAACUAAGCAACAUAAGGGUAAAUUUGUAAAAAUUUAGGACUUUUAUGGGGAAAGCCUUCUUUCUCAAUAAAGUGGUUCUUUCUUUCUGCAUCUAGUAAAAAAGAAAGCUCCUAUACAUAAUUUUAUAAAUUUUCGUUUGUAAAUCUAGUAAUUCAUGUUUUGAACCUUAAACUUUCAGAUUUAAUUCACAAGAAUCCCCAAUUUCUUACUAUCUUAUCAUAUUUGAUGCGACUUUUUUCUUUUUAUUAGGCUGAUGUCUAUGAAGAUGAAUCAGGGACUUGUUCUGCCUUUAUUGCAAACUUAGAUGACAAAAAUGAAAAAACAGUACAAUUUCGGAAUGCUUCAUAUACACUUCCAGCAUGGUCAGUCAGCAUUCUUCCAGAUUGCAAAAAUGUAGUCUACAACACUGCAAAGGUAACUUCAUUUAUUUGUUUAUAAAAGCAUCCUACUUUCAUCCUUUUCCUAUUAAAGCAUUCUACUUUGAAAAAUCUACCCAAAUAUAUAAAAGUAGGAUGCUAUAAAAAAACAAAUCAUUGAAAGUACAUUGCUAUUUCUUGCAAAUAGGUUGGAUCUCAAACUUCCACCAUUGAAAUGAUCCCAGAGCAAUUGCAACCUUCAUCAGCUUCACCACAUAAAGAUUUGAAACCACUUAGUUGGGAAAUAUAUGUGGAAAAACCAGGGAUUUGGGGAGAAGCCGAUUUUACUAAAAAUGGUUUUGUGGAUCAUAUCAAUACAACCAAAGAUACAACCGAUUACCUUUGGU